This 516-nucleotide ribosomal RNA is filed under the name uncultured Acaulospora. RNAcentral describes it as "SSU rRNA". It matches the Rfam family "Eukaryotic small subunit ribosomal RNA", at positions 569 to 1085 of the family's 1831-position model. Lineage: Eukaryota; Fungi; Glomeromycota; Glomeromycetes; Diversisporales; Acaulosporaceae. The record is from RNAcentral.
AGCAGCCGCGGUAAUUCCAGCUCCAAUAGCGUAUAUUAAAGUUGUUGCAGUUAAAAAGCUCGUAGUUGAAUUUCGGAAUCUGUCCGUCGGUCGGGCUUCACUGUCCGUACUGGCGUGGUGGGUUCUUACCUUCUGAAUAACCAGCAUGCCAUUCACUUGGUGCGCUGGGGAAGCAGGACUAUUACCUUGAAAAAAUUAGAGUGCUCAAAGCAGGCCAGUGCCUGAAUACAUUAGCAUGGAAUAAUAAAAUAGGACGGCAUGGUUCUAUUUUGUUGGUUUCUAGGAUCACCGUAAUGAUUAAUAGGGAUAGUUGGGGGCAUUAGUAUUCAAUUGUCAGAGGUGAAAUUCUUGGAUUUAUUGAAGACUAACUUCUGCGAAAGCAUUUGCCAAGGAUGUUUUCAUUAAUCAAGAACGAAAGUUAGGGGAUCGAAGACGAUCAGAUACCGUCGUAGUCUUAACCAUAAACUAUGCCGACUAGGGAUCGGACGAUGUUAAUUUUUAAUGACUCGUUCGGCG